RNAcentral lists this transfer RNA (78 nucleotides) under Acidobacteriota bacterium. RNAcentral's name for it is "tRNA-Arg". It matches the Rfam family "tRNA". From Rfam's summary of the family: Transfer RNA (tRNA) molecules are approximately 80 nucleotides in length. RNAcentral also lists the same sequence under 1 other name. The record is from RNAcentral. Lineage: Bacteria; Pseudomonadati; Acidobacteriota.
CUGCCCGUAGCUCAGCUGGAUAAGAGCAUCGGCCUUCUAAGCCGAGGGUCCCCGGUUCGAAUCCGGGCGGGCAGGCCA